AGCUUUGCGCAGUGGCAGUAUCGUAGCCAAUGAGGUUUAUCCGAGGCGCGAUUAUUGCUAAUUGAAAUACUUGAAAUGCCAACAUUCAUUAUUAGUCUGUUUUUGACACUUUGGACUACAAA
Small nuclear RNA from Panthera leo (lion), 122 nucleotides. Its record names the gene U4. It matches the Rfam family "U4 spliceosomal RNA". From Rfam's summary of the family: U4 small nuclear RNA (U4 snRNA) is a component of the major U2-dependent spliceosome. The structure of U4 snRNA from yeast and human has been reported. Lineage: Eukaryota; Metazoa; Chordata; Mammalia; Carnivora; Felidae. The record is from Ensembl.